This 92-nucleotide transfer RNA is filed under the name Delftia sp. PS-11. RNAcentral describes it as "tRNA-Val". Lineage: Bacteria; Pseudomonadati; Pseudomonadota; Betaproteobacteria; Burkholderiales; Comamonadaceae. The record is from RNAcentral.
GGGUGGUUGGUUUUGUAGGGUGUUGAUUUGUAAAUAUAUACUUAUCCCUUACAAGGCGUAGGUCAGCGGUUCGACCCCGUUAGCACCCACCA